GACAGAUUACGCAUAUCUCACUCUCAUCCCCAAACCCCAAGUUGUUGAACAAUCCAAGAAUAAAAUUCUUAUCAGUUUGUCUUUUUUGGGAAUUGAAAGAUUACAGAACCAUUCUCAUCUCUUCAACAAUGGCUAUGAAUUCGACUCUUAGCGUUGGUGUGAAUUUAAGCCUACGAUUAGACCCAUUUCUCAAAUUCAAUUCAAAAACGCUACGAUUAUCCAAGCUUGACGCAUGUGGCAGUAGAAGAGGUCUCCAUGUUUGCCGCUCUUCUCUUGCGGAGGAAAAGCAGCAAGCAAUCUCUUUCUCUGAACCUGAAACUCACUUGAUCGAUGCGCUUAUUGGGAUCCAAGGCCGAGGCAAAUCCGCAUCUCCUCAGCAACUACAGGAUGUGGAGCGCGCAGUGAAAGUUCUGGAAGGUUUAGAAGGUGUUUCUGAACCGGUAUGUGAUCAAUUUUUUUUUCAGUUUUAUACUGGUUUUCUAUUUCCCUUUUUUUUCCUAUAGAAGAAAGAAAAAAGGAAAUAAAAUUCUUGUGUAUGGUCUGCUGCUUGGAUACUUGCCCUGAUGUGCAGUUACUAAGUGCUAAAGAGGGUAUGUGUUCUUUUGGUUCAAACUGAAUUAUGAUGCGUUUCAGUUCAUUCAGUUUAAACUGAUUUUGCAUUUCAGUCAAUUGCAUUUAGUUUUUAUGAUUAAAUAAUUCAAUUUAAUUCUUUUUUUAUAAGAAUUUAUUUUACUUUUCCACCUUUAAAAGAUAAAAUUUAAAUAUAGUCAAAUAAAAAUUUGUUUUUGAUUUUUUUGCAAACAUUAUACAUACAUAUAAAAGUAGGGAGGGGAAAGGCCUAUGCUAUUCUUUUACGAUACUAUCAUUGUAUCUACUAGGGUUUUAUUAUGAUUAUAAAUCAUGGUGAACCCAUAUAGAUGUUAUUAUAAUCAAUGGUCAGAGUGUAUAUAUUGUACAUUUAACGGUUGUGCUAAAUAAAUUCUGGAGUGUACAGUGGAGCUAAAUAUUGGAACAGAAUGAGGAGCGAAAGCUUCACUUGAUUGCUUGGAACAAAAUGACAGUGUACGGUGGGAUGUGUUUUCAUAAUCUAUAAUGUUUUUUAAUCUAGCUAUGGUGGCUGAGCAGUAUUGGAGACUAUUGACCGUCUCUGAGUCUUUAGCAUCACGUGCUUUCAGAGCAUGAUAUUAUCCUUGUGGAAGUCUCUUUGAUGCACAGGUGGGUUUCAACCCUAGCUAUGCAUGAAGGUCUACUUUGUUUGGAAAAAAGCUGGUACAUCAAUGUUCCAUGUGGCACAUUGUUAUUUGUUACCAGUUCCGUUGUAGUUACCCAGUCAUCCAGGAGGUCAAAUAGGGUCUUCUCUCCCUCCUUUUUUCAUCGAAUGCCAUGGUUGCUGACCUUAUUGAGAUUGAGACUGUGCAAUGGAAUGCCCCCUUGUCUAUUCUUAAUUCUGGCUUAUGGAAGCCUGAAUCAUUCUCUCUAUUCUGAUGAGUUCUCAAAGAUCUCUGGAUUGCUAUAUUUGGCACGGGAUGGAGACAGAAAUUUUUAAAGUUAAGAGAGUGUGUCACCUUGCUUAUUCUGGGAACUUCUUCAUUAUCUGGAUCUGGUUCAGAUUGUUCCGCUAUCAACUGGUCUGCGGUAUGGAAGCUUCAGCUCCCACCAAAAGUGCUAUACUUUCUCUGACGUGCAAUGGAAGGUUGGUUUCUGAACCUUCCUGAUCACUAUUAUGCUCCUUAUAUGGAAAUGGCAGUUAUGCUAUUUUGGGGAAUUUGGUUUGCUUGAAACCCAUGGAAAUUCAAGGCCAAGGAACUCUCUGUACGACAUAUUCUAUCCAUGUCUUGUGAUGUGUUAUGGCUUUUCCAGGAGAGCAUCCCUCCCCACUCCCAGCGUGCAGCUUACUCACCAAAUGUUCCUUGGUUGCCCCUUCCAGGUAUGGAUACCAAGAUCAAUGUAGAUGCCGCUUGCUUUGUGGAUAUUCUUGUGGAUUGCGCUUUGUAGCAUGAAAUCAUAAGGGUGAGGUAAUGAUGGCUGUUCCAAUUAGCAGAAUUCUCUCUUCUCAGUUCUCCUAGCAGAGGAACAGGCUGUUCUUUUUGAACUUCACGCAGCGAAAGAUGAUGGUUUCCAGUAUGUGAUUGUGGAAGGUGAUUUCAAAAUUCAUAUGGAAGCUUUGGGUCAAGCAACUACUCAAGGCCCUUACCAUGAGCUGGUGGUUAAGGAAUAAGGAUACUAUUUCCUUCUCAUCUUUCUUCUCAUGCUUAUGCUUUCAAUUUGUUCCUCGUUCAGCUAAUAAGGUUGCCCACUCCCUAGCAAAACUCUCUCUAUCUAUUUCUGAUACUCGCAUUUGGAUGGAAGAUCUUCCUCCAGAAUGUUUUGUUCUAGCUUUUUCUGAUGUACUGCGUUGCCAAGUUGGCUAAUCUAUAAAAUUUAUUCUUCUAAAAAAUGGGUUCGGGGGGGAAAGGGGUAGAGAUCAACAUUGGAGCAACAAUACAGUUACAUUUAAUAUCAAUUACCAUAUUGGAUAAUUGUGAAGCAUUUAAAUUGUCUUUUCCUGAUGACUAUCUUUUGCUUCUUGGCAAGUCUUGCAUAUAUAUAUGCCUCUAGUUUUAUGAAAUCCAUUUGCUUUCCCCUGUAUUAAGCUUUGUAGUGUCUAGAAAAGAAAUGUUAUGUCUUGAUUUUGCUUUGUUAUCUGUCAUAAUGCGUUGUUCCUUGCAAGUGCUCAUGUUUUUGAAUAACUACAGACAAACUCAGAUUUAAUUGAAGGUUGCUGGCAAUUAAUGUUUACAACUAGACCAGGGACAGCAUCUCCCAUUCAGGUUAGAGGACACUUCUCUAUCAUGUGUGUGUGUGUGUGUGCAUGCAUGCAUGCGCAUGUUACAGAUAUUAAACCUAUUCUUAGCCUCUCAUCAACAAUUUUAGCUUUUCUGAUGAACAGUUUUUUAAUGUUAUCAAAGCUUAGUCUCUCUGAGCACAAGGUCUAGAAUUUGAAUCUCAGCGCUCCUGUUGUUCAACCCAAGACCUGAUUAGAAAAUUGUGAAUUCAACUUUAAAUGCUUUAGAAUGGCAAAUUGUUCAGCAGGUUUAAUGCUGUUUUGAAAUGGCACGUGUUUCUUCUCAUUGUUUUUGUCCAUAUUUUGUGCUGAAUUAUUUUCAUUUGGUAUGCAUAUGCUUGCAGAGAACAUUUGUGGGUGUUGACUUCUUUAGUGUAUUUCAAGACGUAUACCUUCGGACAAAUGAUCCACGUGUAUCUAACAUUGUAAGGUUCUCAGAUGCAAUAGGUGAGCUAAAGGUAGAGGUAUGAACUCACUCACUAUCUUUUGAUUGUCAAAUUCUUUGGAAAUUUCUAUGUCUAAAUUUAUCUUUUAUUGAAAGAGUGACUGCAAGAACUCUGACAUGACUGCCAGACCAAAUUUAUAAACUUCUAUUGCCAGUUGUAUAAAAUCUUAGUAUAAUUGACCAGACUAGAAACUUUCUUCUGUCAUCAUUUCAGCCUUUUGAGCGUGCACUUCACAUCGUUUGCUAUUGCAUGGAAGAUACAAGUAGAAUCCCCAUAAAUAUUAUGAUGAAGUGUAUGGCUCCUUUCCACCAGAUUUUAAAUUAUGCAUUCCAUAUCAACUUUAGGAGAAAAACAUAAUUUUUGGUCCAAAGCUUCACCUAUCCACUGCAUAACAAUUAACAAAUUAGAAGGAUUUGACACAUUCUUCAUCUUUCCUUUCUUCGAGCAGCAGAUAACCUACCUAAGCAAGAAAACUAUGCCUUGGUAUGGAGGGAAUGAAGCAAAGUGGCUUAAAAACAACUCUGUUCUUGUUAUUUCUAAUCUGAACUUUUUCAUUGACCACAAUUUUUUCUUCGUAUCAACAGAGAACAUUUCUCCUUGAGUUUUCUGUCCUUAUCUUCUGUGAUAAGUGGCCAGCUGGUAAGAUAUCUUUAGUAGUCAUGUGAUGUUAGACAUCCAACUAUUGAGUGAAUUGCAAUCUUGAAUAUCAAGGAGUCUCAAGAUAAAUUCUAGAUGGUACUCGCAUUUACAAUUUGACUUGCUUCCUUUCUUUCAUUUCUUAGAAUUACCUUCCAAACAUAUGCCAUUACAUCAUCACCUGUUUACGUAAUUGAGUUGAUGCUAUUAUUCUGUUAAACAAUUCGGAUAGUCAAAGACAUACUGGUUGUGUCCUGGAUUUCUGUGCAAGAUCAUAUUUCAAUUAUUGUGUCAUAUUGUAUAGCUCCAGCUUUCUUUCUCUGAAAUUUUGCAUUUUUCGUCUUUACACAGGCAGCAGCAGCCAUUGAAAAUGGAAAACGAAUCAUUUUCCAAUUUGACAGAGCGGCAUUUUCAUUCAACUUUUUACCAUUUAAAGUUCCGUAUCCAGUUCCAUUCAGGAUUCUUGGUGAUGAAGCAAAGGGUUGGUUGGACACUACAUACUUGUCCCCAUCUGGAAACCUUCGCAUAUCAAGGGGAAAUAAGUGCAGGGCACCACAUUUGUGCUGCAAAAGAAAACUGAACCUAGGCAAAGAUUGCUUGCAGCCAUUUCUACAGGAACACAAGUUAGAGAGACAAUAGAUGAGUUCAUAUCAUUAAAUAAGAACAUUGCUAAAGACGAAAUAGAACUCCUCGAGGGAGAAUGGCAAAUGAUAUGGAGUUCACAGACGGAGACAGACAGUUGGUUAGAAAAUGCUGCCAAUGGUCUUAUGGGCAAGCAGAUUGUCAAAAAGAAUGGGCAACUGAAGUUUGUGGUUGACAUCUUGCUUGGGCUUAGAUUCUCCAUGACUGGAACAUAUGAGAAAUCUGGAACCAACAAAUACGAUGUUAUAAUGGACGAUGCAGCGAUCAUUGCAGGUCCAUAUGGAUAUCCUUUAGAGAUGGAAACCAAGAUCAACCUAGAGCUGCUGUGUGGUGAUGAAAAGGUCAGAAUUAGCAAGGGGUAUAAUAAUUAUGUAUUUGUGCAUGUACGGACAGAUGGAACAAAGCAGAAAUAGGCCAGUUGGUGCAUCGCAAGAAAGAUUAAAUUUUAUGAUGUUAUACUUUGUAUAUCUACAGCAAUAGGCAAAGGGAAAUGCUAAUUGCAGGCGAUAUUGCCAUUUACUCUUUAGCCAAAACCAGAAAAGGCAGGAUAUUUAGGCCUUGUUUGGUAUAUGACGGUCUACUUCUGAAAAAUAUACUUCUUAGGAAGUUUAUUUCCCAGUAAAUAUAAUUUAGGAUGUUUUCGGUUUUACAUGUGCAUUUUCUAAGAAGUAUAGCUCCAUUCAUAUAGCCGAUCCAAAUUUUUGAGAUAAAGGCU
RNAcentral lists this unclassified non-coding RNA (5263 nucleotides) under Hevea brasiliensis (rubber tree). Lineage: Eukaryota; Viridiplantae; Streptophyta; Magnoliopsida; Malpighiales; Euphorbiaceae. The record is from RNAcentral.